This 490-nucleotide ribosomal RNA is filed under the name uncultured bacterium. Its description in RNAcentral is "partial 16S ribosomal RNA". It matches the Rfam family "Bacterial small subunit ribosomal RNA", at positions 29 to 507 of the family's 1533-position model. The record is from RNAcentral.
AUUGAACGCUGGCGGCAGGCCUAACACAUGCAAGUCGAACGGUAACAGGAAGCAGCUUGCUGCUUCGCUGACGAGUGGCGGACGGGUGAGUAAUGUCUGGGAAGCUGCCUGAUGGAGGGGGAUAACUACUGGAAACGGUAGCUAAUACCGCAUAAUGUCGCAAGACCAAAGAGGGGGACCUUCGGGCCUCUUGCCAUCGGAUGUGCCCAGAUGGGAUUAGCUUGUUGGUGGGGUAACGGCUCACCAAGGCGACGAUCCCUAGCUGGUCUGAGAGGAUGACCGCCCCCAGGGGAAGUGAAACGGGGCCCAGCCCCCUGGGGGAGGGCGCAGUGGGGAAUUUGACACAGGGGGCGGAAGUCUGAUACACCGAGCCGGGGUGUGGAAAGAAGGCGUCGGGGUUGUAAAGAUGUUCCGGGGGGGGAAAAGGGAAUAAAGUUAAUCCGUUGCCUCAUUGACGUUCCCCGGAAAAGAAGCACCGGCUAACCCCGUG